ACUCCUUCCACCACUCACUCACACUCCUCUCCUACCUCUCCCCCACGAAAUCCUGCUCCACCUAGCUACCAUGGCCGGCCAUGGCCAUGGAAAGGCACCUAGAUGAAGCUCCCCUCCUCCAUCAAGCUCAUCCUCACCAUGAGAGCAUCCCUCUCACUCUCUUCUCCCCUAACCCUAGAUGAAUCCAGCCCUAUUUCUCCUUUCUCCUCUCACAAGAUUGGAUCUUGAUGCAGGUGCAUGUUGGUCCAAGCAUGGAGAAGGUUGAGCAAUCCUCAGAUCUGAAGCUCUUGACCCAAGGGAUAUUUGGUUUAUACCAUGGUGAUAACCGAGAGAGGCAAUUGCUAAGUUGUGAUGCACUCAUACCUUUACUAGAUGCGAACAAUUCCGGAGAAGAAGAAGAAGUGGAAUCGGAUGAGAAGAUUAUUUAUAUUGUUGGAAUUCUUAUAUUGAUGGAGUUGAAGAAGUACAGGGACAAAUAAGACAAGGCAAGCCAUCUUUUGACCUCUGAUUCGGUGUCUAGUUGGAUGUCAUUUGUUGAUGUCCAAAGCACCUUGGUUCUAUGUGUGUUGUUCUCCUUAUUAUUGUCAUAUAUGUAUGGUUGCUAGUGGA
This is a non-coding RNA of Lolium perenne, 609 nucleotides long. Lineage: Eukaryota; Viridiplantae; Streptophyta; Magnoliopsida; Poales; Poaceae. The record is from RefSeq and is a predicted model, not a curated record.